Molecule: ribosomal RNA, 301 nt
Filed under: uncultured bacterium
Lineage: Bacteria
Description: partial 16S ribosomal RNA
Rfam family: Bacterial small subunit ribosomal RNA
Source: RNAcentral
CAGUCGCCACGGUAAUACGUAGGGUGCAGGCGUUAAUCGGAAUUACUGGGCGUAAAGCGUGCGCAGGCGGUUAUAUAAGUCAGAUGUGAAAUCCCCGGGCUCAACCUGGGAACUGCAUUUGAGACUGUAUGGCUAGAGUGUGUCAGAGGGGGGUAGAAUUCCACGUGUAGCAGUGAAAUGCGUAGAUAUGUGGAGGAAUACCGAUGGCGAAGGCAGCCCCCUGGGAUAACACUGACGCUCAUGCACGAAAGCGUGGGGAGCAAACAGGAUUAGAUACCCCCGUAGUCCCUGUCUCUUAUAC